This 301-nucleotide ribosomal RNA is filed under the name uncultured bacterium. RNAcentral describes it as "partial 16S ribosomal RNA". It matches the Rfam family "Bacterial small subunit ribosomal RNA", at positions 509 to 807 of the family's 1533-position model. The record is from RNAcentral.
CAGUCGCCGCGGGAAUACGUAGGGUGCAAGCGUUAAUCGGAAUUACUGGGCGUAAAGCGUGCGCAGGCGGUUAUAUAAGUCAGAUGUGAAAUCCCCGGGCUCAACCUGGGAACUGCGUUUGAGACUGUAUGGCUAGAGUGUGUCAGAGGGGGGUAGAAUUCCACGUGUAGCAGUGAAAUGCGUAGAUAUGUGGAGGAAUACCGAUGGCGAAGGCAGCCCCCUGGGAUAACACUGACGCUCAUGCACGAAAGCGUGGGGAGCAAACAGGAUUAGAUACCCGAGUAGUCCCUGUCUCUUAUAC